AGUGAACGCUGGCGGCGUGCCUAAUACAUGCAAGUCGAACGGAGUGGCGCACGGGUGAGUAACGUAUAGCUAAUCUGCCCUACACUAGAGGACAACAGGUGGAAACGACUGCUACUACUCUAUAGUGUAGGAUGAGGCUAUAUUGUAUCAGCUAGUUGGUGAGGUAAUGCCUCACGAAGGCUAUGACGGAUAACUGGUCUGAGAGGAUGAUCAGUCAAACUGGAACUGAGAAACGGUGCAGACUCCUACGGGAUGGAGCAGUAGGGAAUAUUGCUCAGUGGGGGAAACCCUGAAGGAGCAAGGCCGCGUGGAGGAUGAGACUUUUCGGAGAGUAAACUCCUUUUGUUAGGGAAGCGGUACCUAACGAAUAAGCACCGGCUAACUCCGUGCCAGCAGCCGCGGUAAUAC
This 408-nucleotide ribosomal RNA is filed under the name uncultured bacterium. RNAcentral's name for it is "partial 16S ribosomal RNA". It matches the Rfam family "Bacterial small subunit ribosomal RNA", at positions 29 to 526 of the family's 1533-position model. The record is from RNAcentral.